This 450-nucleotide ribosomal RNA is filed under the name uncultured bacterium. RNAcentral describes it as "partial 16S ribosomal RNA". It matches the Rfam family "Bacterial small subunit ribosomal RNA", at positions 354 to 796 of the family's 1533-position model. The record is from RNAcentral.
GUGGGGAAUCUUCCGCAAUGGACGAAAGUCUGACGGAGCAACGCCGCGUGAGUGAUGAAGGUCUUCGGAUUGUAAAGCUCUGUUAAUCGGGACGAAAGAGCCUAGUGUGAAUAAUGCUAGGAAGUGACGGUACCGGAAUAGAAAGCCACGGCUAACUACGUGCCAGCAGCCGCGGUAAUACGUAGGUGGCAAGCGUUGUCCGGAAUUAUUGGGCGUAAAGCGCGCGCAGGCGGAUCUGCCAGUCUGUCUUAAAAGUUCGGGGAUUAACCCCGUGAUGGGAUGGAAACUACAGAUCUAGAGUAUCGGAGAGGAAAGUGGAAUUCCUAGUGUAGCGGUGAAAUGCGUAGAUAUAGGAAGGAACACCAGUGGCGAAGGCGACUACCUGGACUGAUACUGACACUGAGGUGCGAAAGCGUGGGGAGCAAACAGGAUUAGAUACCCGUGUAGUCC